Molecule: ribosomal RNA, 254 nt
Filed under: uncultured bacterium
Lineage: Bacteria
Description: partial 16S ribosomal RNA
Rfam family: Bacterial small subunit ribosomal RNA
Source: RNAcentral
CACGUAGGGUGCGAGCGUUGUCCGGAAUUAUUGGGCGUAAAGAGCUUGUAGGCGGUUUGUCGCGUCUGCUGUGAAAAUCCGGGGCUCAACCCCGGACUUGCAGUGGGUACGGGCAGACUAGAGUGUGGUAGGGGAGACUGGAAUUCCUGGUGUAGCGGUGAAAUGCGCAGAUAUCAGGAGGAACACCGAUGGCGAAGGCAGGUCUCUGGGCCACUACUGACGCUGAGAAGCGAAAGCAUGGGGGAGCGAACAGG